CUUUGAUUUAAUCUAUGAAACAAUUUAGCAUGAGAUAUACACAAAAAAGAAGAAAUCAGGAUGGGGAAAAUACUUUUUCACAGCACUGUACAUGUAUACUGUAGCAUAUACUGUACUGUAAUAGACCACUUUUCAGACAAAAACCUUAAUGAAGGCUGUCAGGAAUGAGUAAAAACUUAAUUUGAUUGUAAAAUAAAAAAUGUAAUUGUCAAUGUCCUGUAAAAAUAUAUGUGUUGGACAAAUAUUCGACACAUUACUGUGUACUAGGCUAGAUUUAUCAUUAGCAACACAACAGCAGGAUGUUUUCUUUAGUCAUAUUUGUGGUGUGAAAGCUAGUAGUAUACAGGUGCUUUUAUUACAAAUAUCACAAACGUCCAUCUUUUUGAGCUCAUCAUUGUUUGUACUUAAUUCCUAUGCUGCUGUAUUUAUAUUUAUUGCACAUGAAGAGACAAAUUCAUAUUAAUAUUUUAUUAGUGUACAAAACGUAUUAAAAAGGAAUUAUACAGCACGUUUAAGUCAAACUAGAGCUAAUUUUAAUUAGUCACGUUAGUAUCCAAGGUUAUUCAACUGUAAGUUUCAGGCUAUUACAGAAGCAUAUACAGUAUUUCCACAUAUCCAUCUUCUUACAAUAUCACGUUUGUCUUCAGCGCAUGCAUUAUCCAUUCUCUCAGUAAACAGCAAGAGUCAGGUAGGAAGAGAAUACACAAUUUAAUGUGUAUCAUCUUCGCUCAUCUACAGUCUCACAGAUUAGUAAAACAUCUGCAGAAUCUACAUUAGACAUGAUGAGAAAAAGAAGUCCAUAAUAAAAAAGUGACAGUAUUAAUAAUGAACUGGAUAACAGCAUCAUUUAAUAAUAGCAAUUGGUUAAUUAAUUCAUAAUAAUAAGUCUGAAAUGUCAAGAGCACUGAGACACUGCUUAGUCUGUUAGCACACAAAGUCUCCAGCCAAUGGAUGGGAGCAAAUGGAUUGAAAUAGAAAACAAACAAAAAACAAAAAAAAAAAACACUUUUCUAUAAGAUGGUCAAAUAAGAAAUGGAUGGAAAUGUGCUGGUGUCAACACUGAGAUGUUCUCAAUUACAUUAGCAUUAACAAAGCAAAUCUUUAAUCUUCUUAAGAAAACAAGUCAAAUAGAAGAAGAUACACCUUCAAAUAUAUGUGUACUUAAUUUUGAUUUAAACGUAAUCAUGCGCCUGUGUGAAAUAUAAGUCUCUGAUCCAUUGUAGGGUGCCAUUGAUCACAUUCUCAUCAGUAUUUGAGAGUGUAUGUUUAUUGAGCCUGGUGUGUGAGAUGCUGCCACUGCUAUGGUGUGUUACCCAGUGAAUGAGCAGAUAAAGACUUUACAGUGCAGCCAGCAAGAAAAGGCUCAUUAGUGGCUGGUCACUAUGACAGGGGUUGCUGAACUGCAUCAUGAGAACAGGACUAAGACGGUUCUCCCUAAUUGAAAACAGGAUGUAAUCGGUCAUUUUUUACAUUUUUUAUUUUAGAGAAGCAUUGUGUUAUAAUAAAUAACUAAUUCAGUGAUACGAGCAGAAUGGGAACUGGUGUAAAUCUAUGGCUUAGCUAUUAUACACUUCCUGACACUAUCACUGAUGUUCAAAUUCUAUGGAUAAGAAUGAAGGAAAGCACAAAGUGCAUGUUUAAAAAAUGGUGUUACAGUAAUAUGGAACCUGUAUUGAAAAUGAGAACUCUCCCUACAAAUAAAGGAAAUGCAACACAAUGCAAAAACCUUAUGGUUCUAAGAGAGCAAAACAAACAAACAAACAAACAAACAAUUACUUUCACAAAGAUUGACCAAGACAGCAACAAUGUGAAUAUUUAGUGUACCUGAAAUUCCACACUCCAAGACAAAUAAUCAUGUAUAAAAACAGAAGUCUAACUAAAUAAAUAAAUAAAAAAACAUAAGCCUAAGAAGGUAAUAUUUCAAUAACUUUCCUUCAUACACCAUUAAUAAUAUAUAAACAAAUCAUUAUUCAGAAUUUGACCAUUAAUUGAUGAUUUGUAAAUGUGUUUUGUACAUGUUUACCAAAGAAUUACAGAUAUAAAACACUAAUCAACUGUUGUAAAAGUUCAGCUUUCUAUUAGCUACUGUAAAAUUGUCCGUACAUAAUGAAUUUGUUAUUAAACAAUCUGUUAUAAAUAUGAGUGGAGAUGUCUAAUAAUAAAAGAUAUAUGGAGAAGCCUAAAAAUACAUGACUGUAUGUAAUGCAAGAACUUAGCCAAAGAUCAGUGUUAAUGAAUUUAUGCAAAUAAUAUUGUGAUGAUGUACAGAAAAUUUUAAUUCAGGACAGUAUUUUGCAUUUUUUGGUUUCUAACAUGACAAACUGUGUUUUUUGUUUUGUUUGUUUUUUACUUCACUAAUCAUGGACUAAUUUGUUUCGCAGACAUUCCACAACAUUAAAUGUAACUAUAAACAUGAAAAGCAUGGCGUGAUGUACUUUAAUUAAUUUUUAAAAAACUGUUGCGUUGUAUUACACUACUCAGACAUUGAUUUUUUUUUCAUAACAGCAUGACCUAAAGCGUUUUACAUAUGUUUUCAUUACAUUUUCAUAAUGACUGCACAUGUAAGUAACUACAUGAAGUGUCAUUAAUAAUCAUUAGCUGUUUACAUGUUUAAAUUCUGAAUAACCAAUGAUUUGUUCAUAUCUAUUAACAAUGUAUUACAAAGUUAUUAAAGUGUUACUGCUUAAGUAGUUCAGCAGGCCUAUCUUCAGGUUAAUGUUUACCACUGAGUCCUAUUUUUCUUUACAAAUACAACAUUUCUUGAAUUUAUACCACAUUGAUAUAGCAUUUUACACAAUUACACAUUUUAGUAAACCUUCCAAACUAUGUAAUUGCUACACAUUAAAUGUUUUCAAGUAUCCAGAAGUUACAUAUUUAACAACUUAGUGGAAGACCGGUAGCGUGGUUUUACUUUGGAACUAGUGGAAUUUUUCCUUUUCCCCCAUGCUGAGUACUAAAAGCAAAAUCAUCAUCUUGUGAUUGUCACCUCACGCCCACAACAGAUUCCCACAAUGUCACACUCACCCUGUAGCCUUUCUCAUGUACCUAUUUGCCACAAUGGUUUCCUCUGGGACUAGUGGAAACUGUGGAUUUGCAAUAUGUUAUGAUGGCACACAUGACCAGACAAAAAUCAAGUAGGAUAGUUAUGAAUAUCUCAUUAUUACCAAUGAAAACCCAUCAAUCUGACAACAUACACUUCUAGGGCAGACACUGGAAAACCUAUACUUGUUUUACUCUAUAAGGGGCUCUAUUUCACUAAUUCUAACUGUAUAAAACCUGGAUAUAAAAAUCAGAGUGUGUACACAUGCUGAGACCAAUAAAUUAAAUACAUUUGCUAUAAUUACCUUCAUGCCAUGUUACUUCUUUUCCUUUUCUCUACUCGCUAAGCACAUAGCAGAUCUCAGAUAGAUUUUGGAGUCCUCACAAGAUUGUGUCUGACAUCCCAGUAUAGACAGUAAUUCACAACCCAUAAUUGCAAAGUGUUUUGUCUGCUGUGCCACAAUGACCCAUGUUUUCCUUUUAUGUGGAGAGAACAUCUAAUAGCUCAAUGGUUAAAUGUUCCAUUGACCAAAACUUUUGGGCAUGUACCAAAGUUCUUAUCACCAGUACUGACACAGCAUAUUUGAAUACACUUCCUCAACUCUUCAACAAGAUGCUGAUACUAUGAUUUUGUAAUCUUUCUAUUUUUAAAAUUUGCACCAUCAGUCAAGGUGCACUGAGGCAUACCAUAGGUGAUGGUAGUUCUAAUAUUUUACUUUUUGCUACUGUGACAUUUGCUAUUAGUACGUGGCAAGGACACAUACAAUGGGGAAAACUCAACUAGUUCUGAAACUACCCUCUGUCUGGAAUGAAAGAAAGUAGAACCAAAUUUAUCAAUAAUUACUUUUGUCAUGUUUCAGGACUCAGUUUUGCACUUCAAUGUUACUUUUUUUUUUUUUUUCAAUGGGUAUGUGGAUAUUUCCAAUCUGUCAAAAACUUUUUGAACAGUAGAUUUUACAUUUCAGUGGUAUGUUAUUCUGAACUCAGUAUAAACCUGACUCAAUCCUGUUCAGUGUUAACAUAUGACCAUUUUUGACAUUUCAUACACUGAAACAUUAACUUGCAUGAAUUCUGCAGCAAAACUGAUUUGACUGCACACUAUGACAGGACAAGUCACAUGAAAAUUUAAAUUACAUGAGCAUGAGAAAUAGUGCACAUAUAAACCAUUAAGUUCAAGAAUGGAUUUUUUUUUUAAAAAAGAGUUGAAUUUACUGCAAUAAUCUGGGAUUGUCUGGGAUGCUUUAUAAGCUGUAAUGAUGGCAUUUCUGUAACAUAAACUAUCAGCUGUAAGCUAAGUUGAUUUUGAAAUCUUUUAUGAAAUUCAGUCUGUAUUUCCAGGCAUUUCCAAUCAAUAAAUCUUUGGUUCUCAAAGAUACCAUCAGUGCAAGGAAUCAAAGAGCAAUGAGACAUUAUUAUUCUCCAUGUGUAAUGAAACUUACCUAUGAAAUCUCCAAAAUGACAAAAGUCGUUACCAG
This is a long non-coding RNA of Ictalurus punctatus (channel catfish), 4514 nucleotides long. NCBI's taxonomy places the organism in Eukaryota, Metazoa, Chordata, Actinopteri, Siluriformes, Ictaluridae. The record is from Ensembl.